Molecule: ribosomal RNA, 482 nt
Filed under: uncultured bacterium
Lineage: Bacteria
Description: partial 16S ribosomal RNA
Rfam family: Bacterial small subunit ribosomal RNA
Source: RNAcentral
AUUGAACGCUGGCGGCAUGCUUUACACAUGCAAGUCGAACGGUAACAGGCCGCCAGGUGCUGACGAGUGGCGAACGGGUGAGUAAUGCAUCGGAACGUGCCCAGUCGUGGGGGAUAACUACUCGAAAGAGUAGCUAAUACCGCAUACGAUCUAUGGAUGAAAGCGGGGGACCGUAAGGCCUCGCGCGAUUGGAGCGGCCGCUGUCAGAUUAGGUAGUUGGUGGGGUAAAGGCUCACCAAGCCAACGAUCUGUAGCUGGUCUGAGAGGACGACCAGCCACACUGGAACUGAGACACGGCCCAGACUCCUACGGGAGGCAGCAGUGGGGAAUUUUGGACAAUGGGCGCAAGCCUGAUCCAGCAAUGCCGCGUGCAGGAAGAAGGCCUUCGGGUUGUAAACUGCUUUUGUACGGAACGAAACGGCUCUGGUUAAUACCCGGAGCUAAUGACGGUACCGGAAGAAUAAGCACCGGCUAACUACGUG